GUUUAUUUUUUACAAAAAGUUCUAAGUAACCUGUAAAUUCCAAAACACCUCGUGCUGAGUCACUAAAGUCGAGCGCACCCUAAAAGGUGUACUUGAUUUUGGCCAUAUUUAUACUUGUUUUAACCAAUAACUACAUUUAUAAACUUGUUUUAAGGAAAUCAAUGCUAGCACUGCAUGCAAUAAUCCUAUAUCUAUCAGUCAUCAAAUU
Molecule: long non-coding RNA, 208 nt
Filed under: Mytilus galloprovincialis (Mediterranean mussel)
Lineage: Eukaryota; Metazoa; Mollusca; Bivalvia; Mytilida; Mytilidae
Source: RNAcentral